Molecule: ribosomal RNA, 227 nt
Filed under: uncultured bacterium
Lineage: Bacteria
Description: partial 16S ribosomal RNA
Rfam family: Bacterial small subunit ribosomal RNA
Source: RNAcentral
CUGAACCAGCCAAGUACCGUGAAGGAUGACUGCCCUAUGGGUUGUAAACUUCUUUUAUAAAGGAAUAAAGUCGGCUAUGUAUACCCGUUUGCAUGUACUUUAUGAAUAAGGAUCGGCUAACUCCGUGCCAGCAGCCGCGGUAAUACGGAGGAUCCGAGCGUUAUCCGGAUUUAUUGGGUUUAAAGGGACCGUAGAUGGAUGUUUAAGUCACUUGUGAAAGUUCGCGG